This 206-nucleotide ribosomal RNA is filed under the name uncultured bacterium. Its description in RNAcentral is "partial 16S ribosomal RNA". It matches the Rfam family "Bacterial small subunit ribosomal RNA", at positions 568 to 773 of the family's 1533-position model. The record is from RNAcentral.
CGCGUAGGUGGUUUGAUAAGGGUGUGGUGAAAGUCCGGGGCUCAACCCCGGAUCUGCCGUGCCGACUGUCAAACUCGAGGACUGUAGAGGCAGACGGAAUUCCGGGUGUAGCGGUGGAAUGCGUAGAUAUCGGGAGGAACACCAGUGGCGAAGGCGACUACCUGGCCCAUUCUUGACGCUGAGGCGCGAAAGCUAGGGGAGCGAAG